CCUACGGGAGGCAGCAGGGGGGAAUCUUGGACAAUGGGCGCAAGCCUGAUCCAGCCAUGCCGCGUGAGUGAUGAAGGCCCUAGGGUCGUAAAGCCCUUUCAACUGUGAAGAUUAAGACGGUAGCAGUARAAGAAACCCCGGCUAACUCCGUGCCAGCAGCCGCGGUAAUACGGAGGGGGUUAGCGUUGUUCGGAAUUACUGGGCGUAAAGCGUACGUAGGCGGAUUAGUAAGUCAGAGGUGAAAUCCCAGGGCUCAACCCUGGAACUGCCUUUGAUACUGCUAGUCUUGAGUUCGAGAGAGGUGAGUGGAAUUCCAAGUGUAGAGGUGAAAUUCGUAGAUAUUUGGAGGAACACCAGUGGCGAACGCGGCUCACUGGCUCGAUACUGACGCUGAGGUACGAAAGUGUGGGG
This 411-nucleotide ribosomal RNA is filed under the name uncultured bacterium. Its description in RNAcentral is "bacterial SSU rRNA". It matches the Rfam family "Bacterial small subunit ribosomal RNA", at positions 338 to 766 of the family's 1533-position model. The record is from RNAcentral.